UACGUAGGUGGCGAGCGUUAUCCGGAAUUAUUGGGCGUAAAGGGUGCGUAGGCGGCCUGUUAAGUAAGUGGUUAAAUUGUUGGGCUCAACCCAAUCCAGCCACUUAAACUGGCAGGCUAGAGUAUUGGAGAGGCAAGUGGAAUUCCAUGUGUAGCGGUAAAAUGCGUAGAUAUAUGGAGGAACACCAGUGGCGAAGGCGGCUUGCUAGCCAAAGACUGACGCUCAUGCACGAAAGCGUGGGGAGCAAAUAGG
RNAcentral lists this ribosomal RNA (252 nucleotides) under uncultured bacterium. RNAcentral describes it as "partial 16S ribosomal RNA". It matches the Rfam family "Bacterial small subunit ribosomal RNA", at positions 524 to 776 of the family's 1533-position model. RNAcentral also lists the same sequence under 1 other name. The record is from RNAcentral.